AACGAACGCUGGCGGCGUGGAUAAGACAUGCAAGUCGAACGAGAGAAUUGCUAGCUUGCUAAUAAUUCUCUAGUGGCGCACGGGUGAGUAACACGUGAGUAACCUGCCCCCGAGAGCGGGAUAGCCCUGGGAAACUGGGAUUAAUACCGCAUAGUAUCGAAAGAUUAAAGCAGCAAUGCGCUUGGGGAUGGGCUCGCGGCCUAUUAGUUAGUUGGUGAGGUAACGGCUCACCAAGGCGAUGACGGGUAGCCGGUCUGAGAGGAUGUCCGGCCACACUGGAACUGAGACACGGUCCAGACACCUACGGGUGGCAGCAGUCGAGAAUCAUUCACAAUGGGGGAAACCCUGAUGGUGCGACGCCGCGUGGGGGAAUGAAGGUCUUCGGAUUGUAAACCCCUGUCAUGUGGGAGCAAAUUAAAAAGAUAGUACCACAAGAGGAAGAGACGGCUAACUCUGUGCCAGCAGCCGCGGUAAUACAGAGGUCUCAAGCGUUGUUCGGAAUCACUGGGCGUAAAGCGUGCGUAGGCUGUUUCGUAAGUCGUGUGUGAAAGGCGCGGGCUCAACCCGCGGACGGCACAUGAUACUGCGAGACUAGAGUAAUGGAGGGGGAAUCGGAAUUCUCGGUGUAGCAGUGAAAUGCGUAGAUAUCGAGAGGAACACUCGUGGCGAAGGCGGGUUCCUGGACAUUAACUGACGCUGAGGCACGAAGGCCAGGGGAGCGAAAGGGAUUAGAUACCCCUGUAGUCCUGGCAGUAAACGGUGCACGCUUGGUGUGCGGGGAAUCGACCCCCUGCGUGCCGGAGCUAACGCGUUAAGCGUGCCGCCUGGGGAGUACGGUCGCAAGAUUAAAACUCAAAGAAAUUGACGGGGACCCGCACAAGCGGUGGAGUAUGUGGCUUAAUUCGAUGCAACGCGAUGAACCUUACCUGGGCUUGACAUGUAAUGAACAACAUGUGAAAGCAUGCGACUCUUCGGAGGCGUUACACAGGUGCUGCAUGGCCGUCGUCAGCUCGUGUCGUGAGAUGUUUGGUUAAGUCCAGCAACGAGCGCAACCCCUGUUGCCAGUUACCAGCACGUGAAGGUGGGGACUCUGGCGAGACUGCCCAGAUCAACUGGGAGGAAGGUGGGGACGACGUCAGGUCAGUAUGGCCCUUAUGCCCAGGGCUGCACACGUACUACAAUGCCCAGUACAGAGGGGGCCGAAGCCGCGAGGCGGAGGAAAUCCUAAAAACUGGGCCCAGUUCGGACUGUAGGCUGCAACCCGCCUACACGAAGCCGGAAUCGCUAGUAAUGGCGCAUCGGCUACGGCGCCGUGAAUACGUUCCCGGGUCUUGUACACACCGCCCGUCACAUCAUGGAAGCCGGUCGCACCCGAAGUAUCUGAAGCCAACCGCAAGGAGGCAGGGUCCUAAGGUGAGACUGGUAACUGGGAUG
Molecule: ribosomal RNA, 1434 nt
Filed under: Akkermansia muciniphila
Lineage: Bacteria; Pseudomonadati; Verrucomicrobiota; Verrucomicrobiia; Verrucomicrobiales; Akkermansiaceae
Description: bacterial SSU rRNA
Rfam family: Bacterial small subunit ribosomal RNA
Source: RNAcentral